GAGAGCACCUCGGUAUCUAAGC
This 22-nucleotide microRNA is filed under the name Aedes aegypti (yellow fever mosquito). RNAcentral's name for it is "aae-miR-306-3p". Its record names the gene aae-miR-306-3p. The record is from miRBase by way of RNAcentral. Lineage: Eukaryota; Metazoa; Arthropoda; Insecta; Diptera; Culicidae.